AGGGCCAUAGCUCAGUUGGUAGAGCACUUGCCUUACAAGCAAGAUGUCAUCGGUUCGAGACCGGUUGGCCCUA
This 73-nucleotide transfer RNA is filed under the name Nephroselmis astigmatica. RNAcentral describes it as "tRNA-Val". It matches the Rfam family "tRNA". Rfam says of the family: Transfer RNA (tRNA) molecules are approximately 80 nucleotides in length. Their secondary structure includes four short double-helical elements and three loops (D, anti-codon, and T loops). Lineage: Eukaryota; Viridiplantae; Chlorophyta; Nephroselmidophyceae; Nephroselmidales; Nephroselmidaceae. The record is from RNAcentral.